GCUGCUGGUUCUCUAGGGAGCAUGUGCACACUUGUCAUCUUUAUAUCUCCACCUGUGCACUUUUUGUAGACCUGGAUCUCUCUCUGAAUGCUAGCCAUUCAGGAUUGAGGAUUGACUUCAUGUCUCUCCUUCCAUUUCCAGGCCUAUGUUUCUUCAUAUACUCUAAUGUAUGUUAUAGAAUGUAAUCAAUGGCCUUUGUGCCUAUAAACCUAUACAACUUUCAGCAACGGAUCUCUUGGCUCUCGCAUCGAUGAAGAACGCAGCGAAAUGCGAUAAGUAAUGUGAAUUGCAGAAUUCAGUGAAUCAUCGAAUCUUUGAACGCACCUUGCGCUCCUUGGUAUUCCGAGGAGCAUGCCUGUUUGAGUGUCAUUAAUAUAUCAACCUCUUCAGCUUUUGCUUGUUGAGUGUUGGAUGUGGGGGUCUUUUUUGCUGGUCUUCUCAGGUCAGCUCCCCUGAAAUGCAUUAGCGGAACAAUUUGUGGACCGUUCAUUGGUGUGAUAACUAUCUACGCUAUUGACGCGAAACAGGUUCAGCUUCUAACAGUCCAUUGACUGGACAAAUUUUCAUUA
RNAcentral lists this ribosomal RNA (569 nucleotides) under Cortinarius chamaesalicis. Its description in RNAcentral is "eukaryotic LSU rRNA". The stretch from base 216 to 369 matches the Rfam family "5.8S ribosomal RNA". The record is from RNAcentral. Lineage: Eukaryota; Fungi; Basidiomycota; Agaricomycetes; Agaricales; Cortinariaceae.